RNAcentral lists this unclassified non-coding RNA (305 nucleotides) under uncultured Lycoperdon. RNAcentral's name for it is "sequence contains ITS2". The stretch from base 1 to 52 matches the Rfam family "5.8S ribosomal RNA", at positions 103 to 154 of the family's 154-position model. The record is from RNAcentral. Lineage: Eukaryota; Fungi; Basidiomycota; Agaricomycetes; Agaricales; Lycoperdaceae.
AACGCACCUUGCGCUCCUUGGUAUUCCGAGGAGCAUGCCUGUUUGAGUGUCAUUAAAUUCUCAACCCCUCCAGCUUUUGCGAGUUGUGAUGGGGCUUGGAUCUGGGAGUUUGCGGGUCUUUAUCAAUAAAGGUCAGCUCUCCUGAAAUGCAUUAGCGGAACCGUUUGCAGUCCCGUCACUAGUGUGAUAAUUAUCUACACUGUGAUGAUUGCUCUCUGACUAGUUCAGCUGCUAAUCGUCCAUCAUGGACAACACUUAAUGAACUUCUUGACCUCAAAUCAGGUAGGACUACCCGCUGAACUUAA